AGCGAACGCUGGCGGCAGGCUUAACACAUGCAAGUCGAGCGGGCACUUUCGGGUGUCAGCGGCGGACGGGUGAGUAACGCGUGGGAACGUGCCCUCUGGUUCGGAAUAACUCAGGGAAACUUGAGCUAAUACCGGAUACGCCCUUUUGGGGAAAGGCUUGCUGCCGGAGGAUCGGCCCGCGUCUGAUUCGCUAGUUGGUGAGGUAACGGCUCACCAAGGCGACGAUCAGUAGCUGGUCUGAGAGGAUGAUCAGCCACACUGGGACUGAGACACGGCCCAGACUCCUACGGGAGGCAGCAGUGGGGAAUAUUGGACAAUGGGCGCAAGCAUGAUCCAGCCAUGCCGCGUGAGUGAUCAAGGCCUUAGGGUUGUAAAGCUCUUUUAUCCGGGACGAUAAUGACGGUACCGGAGGAAUAAGCCCCGGCUAACUUCGUG
RNAcentral lists this ribosomal RNA (435 nucleotides) under uncultured bacterium. RNAcentral describes it as "partial 16S ribosomal RNA". It matches the Rfam family "Bacterial small subunit ribosomal RNA", at positions 29 to 507 of the family's 1533-position model. The record is from RNAcentral.